RNAcentral lists this ribosomal RNA (3362 nucleotides) under Desulforamulus ferrireducens. RNAcentral's name for it is "bacterial LSU rRNA". It matches the Rfam family "Bacterial large subunit ribosomal RNA". Lineage: Bacteria; Bacillati; Bacillota; Clostridia; Eubacteriales; Peptococcaceae. The record is from RNAcentral.
UGGUCAAGAAGAAAAGGGCAUACGGUGGAUGCCUUGGCGCUAUGGGCCGAAGAAGGGCGCGGUAAGCUGCGAAAAGCUACGGGGAGCUGCAAGCAAGCCUUGAUCCGUAGAUACCCGAAUGGGGCAACCCGGCGGAGCAAACCUCCGUCACCCUAUGCUGAACACAUAGGCAUAGAGGAGGGCACCCGGGGAACUGAAACAUCUAAGUACCCGGAGGAAAAGAAAGAAACAUCGAACCCCUCAGUAGCGGCGAGCGAACAGGGGCGAGCCUAAACCAGAUUUCUUCGGAAAUCUGGGGUUGCGGGACCCUCAUCACGUGAAGACUAGACCUAGCCGAAGACACCUGGAAAGGUGCUGCACAGAAGGUAAAACACCUGUAGGCGAAAGGUCGAAAUUUGCAGAGGAAAUCCCAAGUACCGCAGGACACGUGAAACCCUGUGGGAAUCCGGGGGGACCACCCCCCAAGGCUAAAUACCCAUAGCGACCGAUAGUGAACAAGUACCGUGAGGGAAAGGUGAAAAGCACCCCGGGAGGGGAGUGAAAAAGAACCUGAAACCGUAUGCUUACAAGCUGUCAGAGCACGGUUAAAGUGUGAUGGCGUACUUUUUGUAGAACGGACCGGCGAGUUACAUCUAACGUGCAGGUUAAGUUGUGAAAGACGGAGCCAUAGCGAAAGCGAGUCUUAAUAGGGCGCAAUGUACGUUGGAGUAGACCCGAAACCUGGUGAUCUACCCAUGUCCAGAGUGAAGCUUUAGUAAAAUAAAGUGGAGGCUCGAACCGACCUUCGUUGAAAAGGAGGCGGAUGAGGUGUGGGUAGGGGUGAAAUGCCAAUCGAACCAGGAGAUAGCUGGUUCUCCCCGAAAUAGCUUUAGGGCUAGCCUCGGUUUGAGGUAUACGGAGGUAGAGCACUGAAUGGGCUAGGGGCCUUCACGGGUUACCGAACCCAAUCAAACUCCGAAUGCCGUAAUACCAUAACCGGGAGUCAGACUGCGGGUGCUAAGAUUCGUAGUCAAGAGGGAAACAGCCCAGACCAACAGCUAAGGUCCCCAAGACAUGCUAAGUGGAAAAGGAUGUGGGGUUGCAGAGACAACCAGGAUGUUGGCUUAGAAGCAGCCACCAUUUAAAGAGUGCGUAAUAGCUCACUGGUCAAGUGGCCCUGCGCCGAAAAUGAAACGGGGCUAAGCAUGACACCGAAGCUUUGGAUUCUCGAGGUUCGAUGUUCGAGAUUCGAUGUUCGAAAGGAGAACUCACAUGAUAAAAGAUUAUCAUGACCUAGAAGUGUAUAAAAGAGGAUAUAAACUGGCUCUUGAAAUACACAAAUCAACAAAGAGUUUUCCACAGCAUGAGAUGUAUGAGAUAGGGAGCCAAUUAAGACGUGCAGCUGUAUCAAUACCUCUGAAUAUUGCUGAGGGAUAUGGCAGAAAGAACUAUGUAGACGAUUUUAAAAGGUUCUUAAUAAAUGCACUUGGUUCUUGUAAUGAAGUUGCAGUGCUAUUAGAUAUGAUUAAGGAUUUAGGAUAUAUCUCUGAAGAGUACGAGGUACUAAAAGAGGAAUACGAUCAUCUAGGCAGGCAGCUUAACAGAUUAAUACAAACAUGGAAAUAAUCGAAUUUCGAACUUCGAAUAUCGAACUUCGAGAAUGGUAGGGGAGCGUUCCUAGUUCGUAGAAGUCGUACCGAAAGGAGCGGUGGAGGACUAGGAAGUGAGAAUGCCGGUAUGAGUAAGCGAAAAGGCAGGUGAGAAUCCUGCCCGCCGAAAACCUAAGGUUUUCUGGGGAAGGUUCGUCCGCCCAGAGUAAGUCGGGACCUAAGCCGAGGCCGCAAGGCGUAGGCGAUGGACAAUCGGUUGAGAAUCCGAUACCACCAAUAACCGUUUGAGGAUGGAGUGACGCAGGAGGGUAGGUUAAGCCAGCGGUUGGAAAAGCUGGUCCAAGCCGGUAGGGAGUGUGGUAGGCAAAUCCGCCACACGUAAUCCUGAGAGGUGACGGGGAGCGAAAAAUAGUAGCGAAGUAACUGAUCCCAAACUGCCAAGAAAAGCUUCUAACUAGGUAAAUUGGUGCCCGUACCGUAAACCGACACAGGUAGGUGGGGUGAAAAUCCUAAGGCGCGCGAGAGAACCCUCGUUAAGGAACUCGGCAAAAUGACCCCGUAACUUCGGGAGAAGGGGUGCCUCGUUAUCGUGAAAGAAAAGCUUCUGGAGCGAGAAGAGGCCGCAGAGAAAAGGCCCAAGCGACUGUUUACCAAAAACACAGGUCCCUGCUAAAGCGAAAGCUGACGUAUAGGGGCUGACGCCUGCCCGGUGCUGGAAGGUUAAGGGGAAAUGUUAGCGGAAGCGAAGCAUAGAACCGAAGCCCCAGUAAACGGCGGCCGUAACUAUAACGGUCCUAAGGUAGCGAAAUUCCUUGUCAGGUAAGUUCUGACCCGCACGAAAGGCGUAACGAUUUGGGCACUGUCUCAACGAGGGGCUCGGUGAAAUUGUAAUGACGGUGAAGAUGCCGUCUACCUGCGACAGGACAGAAAGACCCCGUGGAGCUUUACUGUAGCUUGACAUUGGGUUUUGGUAUUUGAUGUACAGGAUAGGUGGGAGACUUGGAAAUCGGGACGCCAGUUUCGAUGGAGUCGCCGUUGGGAUACCACCCUUUAGAUAUUGAAAUUCUAACUUAAUGCCUUGAAGCAGGUAUAAGGACAGUGUCAGGUGGGCAGUUUGACUGGGGCGGUCGCCUCCCAAAAGGUAACGGAGGCGCCCAAAGGUUCCCUCAGCGCGGACGGAAAUCGCGCGUUAGAGUGCAAAGGCAAAAGGGAGCUUGACAGCGAGACCAACAAGUCGAGCUGGUACGAAAGUAGGGCUUAGUGAUCCGGCGGUUCUGAGUGGAAGGGCCGUCGCUCAACGGAUAAAAGCUACCCCGGGGAUAACAGGCUUAUCUCCCCCAAGAGUCCACAUCGACGGGGAGGUUUGGCACCUCGAUGUCGGCUCAUCGCAUCCUGGGGCUGAAGUAGGUCCCAAGGGUUGGGCUGUUCGCCCAUUAAAGCGGUACGUGAGCUGGGUUCAGAACGUCGUGAGACAGUUCGGUCCCUAUCCGUCGCAGGCGCAGGAAACUUGAGAAGAGCUGUCCCUAGUACGAGAGGACCGGGAUGGACGGAUCACUGGAGUACCAGCUAUCGUGCCAACGGUAGCGCUGGGUAACUAUAUCCGGACGGGAUAAGUGCUGAAAGCAUCUAAGCACGAAGCCCCCUUCAAGAUGAGGUUUCCCACUACGCAAGUAGGUAAGAUCCCAUGCAGACUACGUGGUAGAUAGGCCGGGUGUGUAAGCACAGUAAUGUGUUGAGCUGACCGGUACUAAUAGAUCGAGGUCUUGACCAAAU